This 589-nucleotide ribosomal RNA is filed under the name Clonostachys rosea. RNAcentral's name for it is "eukaryotic LSU rRNA". The stretch from base 201 to 354 matches the Rfam family "5.8S ribosomal RNA". The record is from RNAcentral. Lineage: Eukaryota; Fungi; Ascomycota; Sordariomycetes; Hypocreales; Bionectriaceae.
CGAGAAAACCCUUUCCGGAGGGGGGGAUGCGGAGGGAUCAUUACCGAGUUUACAACUCCCAAACCCAUGUGAACAUACCUAUUGUUGCUUCGGCGGGAUUGCCCCGGGCGCCUCGUGUGCCCCGGAUCAGGCGCCCGCCUAGGAAACUUAACUCUUGUUUUAUUUUGGAAUCUUCUGAGUAGUUUUUACAAAUAAAUAAAAACUUUCAACAACGGAUCUCUUGGUUCUGGCAUCGAUGAAGAACGCAGCGAAAUGCGAUAAGUAAUGUGAAUUGCAGAAUUCAGUGAAUCAUCGAAUCUUUGAACGCACAUUGCGCCCGCCAGUAUUCUGGCGGGCAUGCCUGUCUGAGCGUCAUUUCAACCCUCAUGCCCCUAGGGCGUGGUGUUGGGGAUCGGCCAAAGCCCGCGAGGGACGGCCGGCCCCUAAAUCUAGUGGCGGACCCGUCGUGGCCUCCUCUGCGAAGUAGUGAUAUUCCGCAUCGGAGAGCGACGAGCCCCUGCCGUUAAACCCCCAACUUCCCAAGGUUGACCUCAGAUCAGGUAGGAAUACCCGCUGAACUUAAGCAUAUCUAAGCCGGGAAGAAAUAAAA